CCUACGGGUGGCAGCAGUGAGGAAUAUUGGUAAAUGGACGAAAGUCUGAACCAGCCAUGCCGCGUGCAGGAAGACGGCUCUAUGAGUUGUAAACUGCUUUUGUACAAGGGUAAACCUGAAUACGUGUAUUCAGCUGAAAGUACUGUACGAAUAAGGAUCGGCUAACUCCGUGCCAGCAGCCGCGGUAAUACGGAGGAUCCAAGCGUUAUCCGGAUUUAUUGGGUUUAAAGGGUGCGUAGGCGGAUUGAUAAGUUAGAGGUGAAAUGUCCGGGCUCAACUCGGGAACUGCCUCUAAUACUGUUGAACUAGAGAGUAGAUGCGGUAGGCGGAAUGUGGGGUGUAGCGGUGAAAUGCUUAGAGAUCAUACAGAACACCGAUUGCGAAGGCAGGUUACCAAUCUAUAUCUGACGUUGAGGCACGAAAGCGUGGGGAGCAAACAGGAUUAGAUACCCCAGUAGUC
This 460-nucleotide ribosomal RNA is filed under the name uncultured bacterium. Its description in RNAcentral is "partial 16S ribosomal RNA". It matches the Rfam family "Bacterial small subunit ribosomal RNA", at positions 338 to 795 of the family's 1533-position model. The record is from RNAcentral.